RNAcentral lists this long non-coding RNA (332 nucleotides) under Gossypium raimondii (Peruvian cotton). RNAcentral's name for it is "long non-coding RNA (GRAI_LNC011263)". The record is from RNAcentral. Lineage: Eukaryota; Viridiplantae; Streptophyta; Magnoliopsida; Malvales; Malvaceae.
UUUUUGAGAGUCGAGUCUGAUGUUAAACGCGUGUUGUCAAAUUUUUAAAAUCCUUUGUUCAAAUUAAUUUUUAAUCGUGAUCCUUGAAUUUUAUUUUUUGAAAAGUCAUGCAUUUGCAUUCGGUUUUUUUUAAUUAAUAUUUUUCUAACUUGUUUUUUCUUCCUUUUUUUUUUCAGCUUUAAGUUUUACGUUUUUUUAGUUGUUUUAGUAAAAAUAAAAUUUAAAAGGUUUGUGAGUUUCUCCCCACACACUGUGCACUUGCAUUUUUUGCAUAACAUGAGCUCUCUACCCAGGCUCUGUCCGUUUAAGUGGAAGUAAACGCUAUGCCUUCG